GAGGGUAUACCUCAGUGGUAGAGUGUGUGCUUAGCAUGCACAAGGUCCAGGGUUCAAUUCCCAGUACCUCCA
RNAcentral lists this transfer RNA (72 nucleotides) under Camelus bactrianus (Bactrian camel). It matches the Rfam family "tRNA". From Rfam's summary of the family: Transfer RNA (tRNA) molecules are approximately 80 nucleotides in length. Lineage: Eukaryota; Metazoa; Chordata; Mammalia; Artiodactyla; Camelidae. The record is from Rfam by way of RNAcentral. RNAcentral also lists the same sequence under 2 other names.